UGGCUCAGGACGAACGCUGGCGGCACGCUUAAAACAUGCAAGUCGAACGUGAAGCCCGGGCUUGCCCGGGUGGAAAGUGGCGAACGGGUGCGUAACACGUGAGCAACCUGCCCCGAAGACCGGGAUAACACCGGGAAACCGGUGCUAAUACCGGAUGCCUUCACCAUGUCGCAUGGCGAGGUGAAGAAAUGGAUUCCGCUUCGGGAUGGGCUCGCGGCCUAUCAGCUUGUUGGUGGGGUAACGGCCUACCAAGGCAACGACGGGUAGCUGGUCUGAGAGGAUGUCCAGCCACACUGGGACUGAGACACGGCCCAGACUCCUACGGGAGGCAGCAGUUAGGAAUCUUGCGCAAUGGGCGAAAGCCUGACGCAGCGAUGCCGCGUGCGGGAUGAAGGCCUUCGGGUCGUAAACCGCUUUCAGCAGGGACGAUUGUGACGGUACCUGCAGAAGAAGCCCCGGCCAACUACGUGCCAGCAGCCGCGGUAAUACGUAGGGGGCGAGCGUUGUCCGGAUUUAUUGGGCGUAAAGAGCUCGUAGGCGGUUUGGUAAGUCGGAUGUGAAAUCUCCACGCUCAACGUGGAGGGGCCACUCGAUACUGCCAUGACUCGAGUCCGGUAGAGGAGUGUGGAAUUCCCGGUGUAGCGGUGAAAUGCGCAGAUAUCGGGAGGAACACCCGUAGCGAAGGCGGCACUCUGGGCCGGAACUGACGCUGAGGAGCGAAAGCGUGGGGAGCAAAUAGGAUUAGAUACCCUGGUAGUCCACGCCGUAAACGUUGGGCACUAGGUGUGGGGAUCUAUCGACGGUUUCCGUGCCGAAGCUAACGCAUUAAGUGCCCCGCCUGGGGAGUACGGCCGCAAGGCUAAAACUCAAAU
RNAcentral lists this ribosomal RNA (872 nucleotides) under uncultured bacterium. RNAcentral's name for it is "bacterial SSU rRNA". It matches the Rfam family "Bacterial small subunit ribosomal RNA", at positions 20 to 906 of the family's 1533-position model. The record is from RNAcentral.